Molecule: ribosomal RNA, 563 nt
Filed under: uncultured organism
Description: bacterial SSU rRNA
Rfam family: Bacterial small subunit ribosomal RNA
Source: RNAcentral
CCUACGGGAGGCAGCAGUGGGGAAUUUUGGACAAUGGGCGAAAGCCUGAUCCAGCCAUGCCGCGUGAGUGAAGAAGGCCUUCGGGUUGUAAAGCUCUUUUAGUCGGAAAGAAAGAGUCGCAAUGAAUAAUUGUGAUUUAUGACGGUACCGACAGAAAAAGCACCGGCUAACUACGUGCCAGCAGCCGCGGUAAUACGUAGGGUGCGAGCGUUAAUCGGAAUUACUGGGCGUAAAGGGUGCGCAGGCGGUUUUGCAAGUCAGAUGUGAAAGCCCCGGGCUUAACCUGGGAAUUGCGUUUGAAACUACAAGGCUAGAGUGCAGCAGAGGGGAGUGGAAUUCCAUGUGUAGCAGUGAAAUGCGUAGAGAUGUGGAAGAACACCGAUGGCGAAGGCAGCUCCCUGGGUUGACACUGACGCUCAUGCACAAAAGCGUGGGGAGCAAACAGGACUAGAUACCCUGGUAGUCCACGCCCUAAACGAUGUCAACUGGUUGUCGGAUCUAAUUAAGGAUUUGGUAGCGUAGCUAACGCGUGAAGUUGACCGCCUGGGGAGUACGGUCGCAAG